This 619-nucleotide ribosomal RNA is filed under the name Bacillus sp. (in: firmicutes). RNAcentral's name for it is "bacterial SSU rRNA". It matches the Rfam family "Bacterial small subunit ribosomal RNA", at positions 663 to 1281 of the family's 1533-position model. Lineage: Bacteria; Bacillati; Bacillota; Bacilli; Caryophanales; Bacillaceae. The record is from RNAcentral.
GGAAUUCCACGUGUAGCGGUGAAAUGCGUAGAGAUGUGGAGGAACACCAGUGGCGAAGGCGACUCUCUGGUCUGUAACUGACGCUGAGGAGCGAAAGCGUGGGGAGCGAACAGGAUUAGAUACCCUGGUAGUCCACGCCGUAAACGAUGAGUGCUAAGUGUUAGGGGGUUUCCGCCCCUUAGUGCUGCAGCUAACGCAUUAAGCACUCCGCCUGGGGAGUACGGUCGCAAGACUGAAACUCAAAGGAAUUGACGGGGGCCCGCACAAGCGGUGGAGCAUGUGGUUUAAUUCGAAGCAACGCGAAGAACCUUACCAGGUCUUGACAUCCUCUGACAACCCUAGAGAUAGGGCUUUCCCUUCGGGGACAGAGUGACAGGUGGUGCAUGGUUGUCGUCAGCUCGUGUCGUGAGAUGUUGGGUUAAGUCCCGCAACGAGCGCAACCCUUGAUCUUAGUUGCCAGCAUUCAGUUGGGCACUCUAAGGUGACUGCCGGUGACAAACCGGAGGAAGGUGGGGAUGACGUCAAAUCAUCAUGCCCCCUUAUGACCUGGGCUACACACGUGCUACAAUGGACAGAACAAAGGGCUGCAAGACCGCAAGGUUUAGCCAAUCCCAUAAAU